GAUCAUGGCUCAGGAUGAACGCUAGCGAUAGGCCUAACACAUGCAAGUCGAGGGGCAGCACGAUGAGUAGCAAUACGAUGGUGGCGACCGGCGCACGGGUGAGUAACACGUGUGCAACCUACCUUUAACAGGGGAAUAACCCGUUGAAAAACGGACUAAUACUCCAUAACACAGGGGGUCCCGCAUGGGAAUAUUUGUUAAAGAUUAAUCGGUUGAAGAUGGGCAUGCGUUCCAUUAGCUUGUUGGUGAGGUAACGGCUCACCAAGGCCACGAUGGAUAGGGGAACUGAGAGGUUUAUCCCCACACUGGAACUGAGACACGGUCCAGACUCCUACGGGAGGCAGCAGUGAGGAAUAUUGGUCAAUGGAGGCAACUCUGAACCAGCCAAGUCGCGUGAAGGAAUGAAGGUCUUAUGGAUUGUAAACUUCUUUUGCAAGGGAAUAAAGUGGGGGACGUGUCCUCCUUUGCAUGUACCUUGCGAAUAAGGAUCGGCUAACUCCGUGCCAGCAGCAGC
Molecule: ribosomal RNA, 514 nt
Filed under: uncultured bacterium
Lineage: Bacteria
Description: bacterial SSU rRNA
Rfam family: Bacterial small subunit ribosomal RNA
Source: RNAcentral